Molecule: ribosomal RNA, 402 nt
Filed under: uncultured Erythrobacteraceae bacterium
Lineage: Bacteria; Pseudomonadati; Pseudomonadota; Alphaproteobacteria; Sphingomonadales; Erythrobacteraceae
Description: bacterial SSU rRNA
Rfam family: Bacterial small subunit ribosomal RNA
Source: RNAcentral
AGUGGGGAAUAUUGGACAAUGGGCGAAAGCCUGAUCCAGCAAUGCCGCGUGAGUGAUGAAGGCCUUAGGGUUGUAAAGCUCUUUUACCCGGGAUGAUAAUGACAGUACCGGGAGAAUAAGCUCCGGCUAACUCCGUGCCAGCAGCCGCGGUAAUACGGAGGGAGCUAGCGUUGUUCGGAAUUACUGGGCGUAAAGCGCGCGUAGGCGGCUUAUCAAGUCAGGGGUGAAAUCCCGGGGCUCAACCCCGGAACUGCCCUUGAAACUGGUUGGCUAGAAUCCUGGAGAGGCGAGUGGAAUUCCGAGUGUAGAGGUGAAAUUCGUAGAUAUUCGGAAGAACACCAGUGGCGAAGGCGACUCGCUGGACAGGUAUUGACGCUGAGGUGCGAAAGCGUGGGGAGCAAA